GUAGAACCUUGGUAACCGUCUUGA
This 24-nucleotide non-coding RNA is filed under the name Arabidopsis thaliana (thale cress). The record is from RNAcentral. Lineage: Eukaryota; Viridiplantae; Streptophyta; Magnoliopsida; Brassicales; Brassicaceae.